This 406-nucleotide ribosomal RNA is filed under the name uncultured bacterium. RNAcentral's name for it is "partial 16S ribosomal RNA". It matches the Rfam family "Bacterial small subunit ribosomal RNA", at positions 30 to 526 of the family's 1533-position model. The record is from RNAcentral.
AUUGAACGCUGGCGGCAGGCUUAACACAUGCAAGUCGAGCGAGCGGCGGACGGGUGAGUAAUGUCUGGGAAUCUGCCUGAUGGAGGGGGAUAACUACUGGAAACGGUAGCUAAUACCGCAUACCAUCAGAUGUGCCCAGAUGGGAUUAGCUAGUAGGUGGGGUAAUGGCUCACCUAGGCGACGAUCCCUAGCUGGUCUGCGAGGAUGACCAGCCACACAGGAACUGAGAGACGGACCAGAAUCCUACGGGAGGCAGCAGUGGGGAAUAUUGCACAAUGGGCGCAAGACUGAUGCAGCCAUGCCGCGUGUAUGAAGAAGGCCUUCGGGUUGUAAAGCACUUUCAGCGGGGAGGCGUUACUCACAGAAGAAGCACCGGCUAACUCCGUGCCAGCAGCCGCGGUAAUUC